GAUGAAGAACGCAGCGAAAUGCGAUAAGUAAUGUGAAUUGCAGAAUUCAGUGAAUCAUCGAAUCUUUGAACGCACCUUGCACCCUUUGGCAUUCCGAAGGGUAUGCUCGUUUGAGUGUCAUCGUACUCUCACACUCCCAAUUGCUUUGGAUUGGGAGCGGUGGACUUGGGUGUUGCUGCUUGACUGAGGCUCACCUGAAAUAUGUUAGUGCACCUCUUGAUUGGACAUAGUACGGCGUGAUAAGUGUCUUCGCCGGCUCCUCGCAAAGAGGGUGGCCGAUCGGGAGCUCUGUUGCUUCAAACUGUCUUCGGACAAUCUUCUGGCGACUUGACCUCAAAUCGAGUAGGACUACCCGCUGAACUUAAGCAUAUCAAUAAGCGGAGGA
Molecule: unclassified non-coding RNA, 385 nt
Filed under: soil metagenome
Description: partial contains 5.8S ribosomal RNA, internal transcribed spacer 2, and large subunit ribosomal RNA
Rfam family: 5.8S ribosomal RNA (bases 1-120)
Source: RNAcentral